RNAcentral lists this ribosomal RNA (993 nucleotides) under Escherichia coli. RNAcentral describes it as "bacterial SSU rRNA". It matches the Rfam family "Bacterial small subunit ribosomal RNA", at positions 466 to 1457 of the family's 1533-position model. The record is from RNAcentral. Lineage: Bacteria; Pseudomonadati; Pseudomonadota; Gammaproteobacteria; Enterobacterales; Enterobacteriaceae.
UCAUUGACGUUACCCCAGAAGAAGCACCGGCUAACUCCGUGCCAGCAGCCGGGGUAAUACGGAGGGUGCAAGCGUUAAUCGGAAUUACUGGGCGUAAAGCGCACGCAGGCGGUUUGUUAAGUCAGAUGUGAAAUCCCCGGGCUCAACCUGGGAACUGCAUCUGAUACUGGCAAGCUUGAGUCUCGUAGAGGGGGGUAGAAUUCCAGGUGUAGCGGUGAAAUGCGUAGAGAUCUGGAGGAAUACCGGUGGCGAAGGCGGCCCCCUGGACGAAGACUGACGCUCAGGUGCGAAAGCGUGGGAGCAAACAGGAUUAGAUACCCUGGUAGUCCACGCCGUAAACGAUGUCGACUUGGAGGUUGUGCCCUUGAGGCGUGGCUUCCGGAGCUAACGCGUUAAGUCGACCGCCUGGGGAGUACGGCCGCAAGGUUAAAACUCAAAUGAAUUGACGGGGGCCCGCACAAGCGGUGGAGCAUGUGGUUUAAUUCGAUGCAACGCGAAGAACCUUACCUGGUCUUGACAUCCACGGAAGUUUUCAGAGAUGAGAAUGUGCCUUCGGGAACCGUGAGACAGGUGCUGCAUGGCUGUCGUCAGCUCGUGUUGUGAAAUGUUGGGUUAAGUCCCGCAACGAGCGCAACCCUUAUCCUUUGUUGCCAGCGGUCCGGCCGGGAACUCAAAGGAGACUGCCAGUGAUAAACUGGAGGAAGGUGGGGAUGACGUCAAGUCAUCAUGGCCCUUACGACCAGGGCUACACACGUGCUACAAUGGCGCAUACAAAGAGAAGCGACCUCGCGAGAGCAAGCGGACCUCAUAAAGUGCGUCGUAGUCCGGAUUGGAGUCUGCAACUCGACUCCAUGAAGUCGGAAUCGCUAGUAAUCGUGGAUCAGAAUGCCACGGUGAAUACGUUCCCGGGCCUUGUACACACCGCCCGUCACACCAUGGGAGUGGGUUGCAAAAGAAGUAGGUAGCGUUAACUUUACGGGUAGGGCGUCUUAC